This 29397-nucleotide long non-coding RNA is filed under the name Gossypium barbadense (sea-island cotton). RNAcentral describes it as "long non-coding RNA (GBAR_LNC002351)". Lineage: Eukaryota; Viridiplantae; Streptophyta; Magnoliopsida; Malvales; Malvaceae. The record is from RNAcentral.
CGGUAGCUUUUAAACAGUUUGCAUGUUCGUGGUAUUAUGAUAAAACAUCAAUUUCAUUUGAAAACCCGAGUUUUACCUAACACUAGCAGAUUUAAAUCAUAAAACCGUAUAAACCCAAAUUUAAACUAAAGUAAGUAAAGGCCAUAAUUACAGCAAAAUACUCCCAAAUAAAAGUAAAAUCAUGAAUAGGCAAUAAACAAUGUAAAAGGAGUCGUGCGGCCACCACUGAGUCCUUCGCUGCACCGACCCACCUAUAUUUAGGGAUUACCUGUACAGAUUAAAAAGAAGGGGUGAGUUUACGUAAACUCAGUGUGUAAUCCCCAUAUAAAUGAACAAACAGUAACCAGAUAAUCACAGUCUGGGCUUAAGCCCUUUUCAGUAUUAGUAUCAGUCCAGUUUGGGCCUUAGCCCAUCUCAAUACAAAAACAGUCCACAGUAGGGCUUUAGCCCAUCACAGUAUCAGUAGCAGUAACAAAUAUGCAGUCACAGAAAUCCUACCCAUCCAGCCACUACUCACCAUCUCUGUCCAACACUACACUCCAUGUGGGGAUAUAAUCAACCCACCCAUCCCUACACCCGAAGUAGUACCAAAUGUGGCACUAGACCGUAGUUUGUAGCUGUACUACCAGUAAAUAAGGCUCGAAGCCUUUCAGUACACUUCCUCCGAACAAUGUCAACCCCCAACCCAAUACAAUGCAAUAUACAGUUAUGAUAUGCUAUUACAUGGUAACAGUACAUACAAUAUCAAUUCAGUGAAACAUCAUCACGCUCGAUAACAUGUAUACCUAUAAAUCAGUCAUACAGUCAUUUCAUUCAAUUAGGGGUAUAGGUAAGCUUACCGACCCUACCGUAGGUUCACAGACAUCUUAGGCGACCCGUGCAACCUUGGUAACAAACCAGUGAAAAUGGGCUCACAUGCCCAUGUUGUCUGCCUGUGUGGGCCCACAUGCCCGUGAGGCCUACAUGGGCUAAAUUAGCCUUGGCCGUGUGGAUCACACGGCCUGGCCCAGAAUCUCACACACCUGUGUGGCAUACUCGUGUAGGCCCACACAAAUGUGUCUAGUGCACACGGCCUGGCCUAUUCAAUCACACGCUCGUGUUAUGGCACAAGCCUACCACACGGCCGUGUGACGUCGAUAACAUAGUUUUUGGCUUUCGUCGAAACCUUAUUUUCUAUAUUUUCGGGUAAACACCUAGUUUCGAUUCAAAGAUAAAGCCACCACAAGCACUCUAGAACCUAUUAUUGACCAACAUUUCACUGAAUUAGUCACUUGAACGCUCAAAUUAAACUUAACCCCAAAACAGAAAAGUCCUCUUCUAACCGAAAAAAACCCUUACCUUAUAAACUACAGAUACUUCCCUCUAUAACUCAGCACCAGCACAACCCCUCAGACUGGAUUUUUAGCUGUCAAUGCAAUUAAACAAAGGUUCCCCAAUUAAUAACUUAAAAAUUGAAAUUUUAAAGCACAUUAUCACUUACCGAAUGAGUGUGACCCUAUGUUGCGCAAUAUGACGAAUUGAAAACAAAGUUGAAAAGGAAAAAGAAGUAGGUGGAUUCAGCAAGAAGGAGGGUAAAAUUUGGCAAUAAAGGAAAAAAAAGAUGAAGAAGGAAACAGCAAAGACUUUUUGUAGGAGAGAAGAAAAAUAACUGGGUAACUCCCAAAUUCACUAUUUUGCUUUUACUAAACUACAUCCGUUUCAACUACUUCAGUAUUCCAAUCCAUCUCAAACACCUACACGACAUUUGCAGCAAAAAUAAUGCCUAAGUACAGACUCAAACACAAGACCUUCCUCACACUAACACCCCAUUUAACCACUAGACCAGCAGGCUUAUUCUAACAUUAUUUUACAAACAACUCUACCUAAACCCUUUAAGCAAGACUAAGGCUUCAAUCAUUAAAAAUUUCAAAAUUUGCCCAAGUCAAGGCUUGAACUUGGGACCUCUCACACACACCCAGAACACUUAACCACUGAAGCAGAUACACACUUGUGUCACAUUUUCACGAAAGCCAAAAUAAAAAUUUUGGGGUGUUACAACACUACCCCCUACAAGAAAAUUUCAUCCUCAAAAUUUACCUGAUCAGAAUAGGUGAGGAUACUGCUGACGCAUCGUAUCCUCAGGCUCUCACGUAGCUUCCUCCAUGCUAUGAAUAUGCCAUAGAAUUUUAACCAGUGGAAUAGACUUCCUCCACAAAAAUUUUACGUCACGAUCCAAUAUAUGAACCUACUCCUCCUCGAAGGUCAGAUCUGGCCUAACCUUGAUCUCUUCAAUAGGUACAAUAUGCGUGGGAUCAGAGCGGUAGUACCUCAACAUCGAUAUAUGGAAAAUAUCGUGAAUCUGGUCUAACUCUGAAGGUAGCUCUAACUGGUAGGCAAUCGGUCCCACUCGUUUCAGUAUGUGGUAGGGUCCAAUAAACUUAGGGCUCAACUUACCCUUACGACCAAAUCUCAGUACCUUCUUCUAUGGAGAGACCUUAAGAAAAACGAAGUCCCCCAAAUAAUAAUCAAUCUCGCGAUGCUCCAGAUCCGCAUAGAACUUCUACCUGUCUAUACUACUUUCAGUCGAUCCCGUAUCAAUCUGACCUUAUCCUCAGUAUCAGAAACUAGUUCAUUACCCAGAACUCGUUGCUCGCCCAACUCAGUCCAGCAUAAAGGAGUGCGACACUUAAAACCAUAGAGUGCCUCAUAAGGUGCCAUCUGUAUACUAGACUGGUAACUAUUAUUGUAAGCGAACUCUGCCAAUGGCAAAUACUUCUCUCAACUCCCUUGGAAGUCAAUCACACAGCUCCUCAACACAUCCUCUAGUAUCUGAAUCACCCUCUCGAAUUGACCAUCUCUCUGAGGAUGGAAAGCAGUAUUGAAGUCUAACCUUGAACUCAGAGCCUCAUGUAGUUUUUUUAAGAACUAAGACGUGAAGCGAGGAUCCCUAUCAGAGAUGAUCGAACCCAAUACCCCAUGCAGUCUCAUUAUCUUAGACACAUAGUUUAGCCAACUUCUACAACGAGUAGUCAGUAUGAACCGGUAUGAAAUAGGUAGACUUGGUCAAUCGAUUCACGAUGACCCAUAUAGAAUCCUUCUUAGUAGAUGUGAGGGGUAACCCACUAACGAAGUCCAUAGUCACCCGCUCUCAUUUCUAAAGUGGAAUCCUAAUUGGAUGCAUCAAACCCAAAGGUAACUGAUGCUCAGCCUUAACCUGCUGGCAAGUCAGACAUUUUCCCACAAAAUCGGUAACCUCACAUUUAAGUCCUGGCCACUAGUCUAACUCACGAAGGUAGCGGUACAUCUUAUUUUUGCCAAGAUACAUAGCAUAGAGGCUACUAUGCGCCUCUCUCAGUAUCAACUACCUCAAUUCAAUGUCUUUCGACACACAGACUCUCUCACAGAAAUAGAGUACCCCUUCGCUAUUCAAUCUAAAGUCUUCAGUAAGCUCACUCUCAACCUGUCAAAAACGAAGACCUAACGAUUCAUCUUUCAACUGCUUACCCUUAAUUUGCUCAAUCCACGUAGGCUUAGCCUGAAGCUCAGCUAGCAGACUUCCAUCAUCAAAUGAACUUAGGCGAGCAAACAUCACCCUCAAAUCAGUCACAACCUUACAACUCAAUCCGUCAGCCACCACAUUGGACUUACCAAGGUGGUAUUCAAUCGUACAGUCGUAAUCUUUAGGCAGCUCAAUCCAUGUUUGCUGCCUAAGAUUUAGCUCCUUCUGAGUGAGGAGAUACUUGAGGCUCUUGUGAUCCGUGUAGAUGAUACACUUCUUACUAUACAGAUAAUGCAUCCAGAUUUUUAGUGCGAAUACUACAGCGGCCAACUCUAGGUUAUACAUCGAAUAACUCGCUUCAUGAGUCUUAAGCUAUCGAGACACAUACGCUACCACCUUACCCUCUUGCAUCAACACACAUCCCAAACCGACAUGUGAUGCAUCGCUGUAGACAGUAAACUCUUUUUCAAACUCUGGCUGUAUUAAAACAGGGGCCUCAUUUACUAUAGUUUUCAACUUCUCAAAGCUCUCUUACUGUGUAUCAGUCUAGUUAAACGGCAUACCCUUGCGUAACAGCUUAGUCAAAGGUGCCGCAAUCAAUGAAAACCCUUCUACAAAAUGUCGAUAAUACCCUAUUAGUCCCAGAAAACUACGGAUCUCAGAUACAAUCUUAGGCUGCUUCCAAUCCAAAACAGCCUCAAUCUUUCGAGGAUUGGCUUUAAUCCCCUCAACAGAAACCACAUGUCCCAGAAAUGCUACUUCACGUAACUGGAACUCACAUUUAUAGAACUUGCCGUAUAGUUAUUUCUCUCGUAGAAUCUGUAGAACCACUCUGAGAUGUUCAUCGUGCUAAUCUUCAGUCUUCGAAUACACCAGUAUGUCAUCAAUAAAUACCACGCGAACCGAUCCAAAUAAGGUUGGAACACUCAGUUCAUCAAAUCCAUGAAAGCUACCGGUGCAUUCGUUAGUCCAAAUUGUAUCACUAGGAACUCGUAAUGACCACAUCGGGUCCUAAAUAUUGUCUUAUGUAUAUCAGUCUCUUUAACCCUCAACUGAUGAUAUCUUGAUCGAAGAUCAAUUUUGGAGAAAAUUGAAGCUGCUCAGAACUGGUCAAAUAGAUCAUCUAUCCUCGGUAAGGGAUACUUAUUCUUGAUUGUCAACUUGUUCAAUUGUCAAUAGUCAAUACACAUACGCAUGGAUCCAUCCUUCUUUUUCACGAACAGAACUGGUGCUCCCCAUGGAGACAUACUAGGGCAGAUGAACCCACGAUCUAGUAACUUUUGAAUCUGAGCCGUAAACUUCACAAGCUCUUUCAGUGUCAUUCUAUAGGGAGCGAUGGACACUGAAGUUGUACCAGGAAAGAGCUCAAUCUCGUACUCUACUUCACAAUUCAAAAGUAACCCUAGUAGCUCUUCAGGAAAUACAUCAGGAAAGUCCUUAACCGUCUUGAUAUCAUUUACUGAAGAAUCUCAAGAAUCUAAAACACUGAUGCAGGCCAGAUACGCCUCACAUCCCUUACGAACCAACUUUUUCGCCCUCAAUGCAGAAAUCACAUUUAAUAAGUAGUUCAGACGUUCCCUAAUUACAACUACCUUGCUAUCCUCCCCAGUUCUCAAUACAACCCUUUUUAUGACACAAUUUAAGCUCACUCGGUGUUUAACCAACCAAUCUAUUCCCAGUAUCAGAUUAAACUCUCCAAAAGGCAGUUCCAUCAGAUAAGCUAGAAAGAUAGCCACUUGAACCUCUAGAGGAACAUCUCUAAACAACUUAUUCACCCUUACUGAUUGUCCCAGCGAACUCAGUACAGUCACCUCACUUGUAGUGCUCUCAACCAAGAUACUCAAGUUUUCAGACACAGUACAAGCUAUAUAGGAGUGAGUGGAUCCUAUAUAUAUCAGUGCAAUAUAAGGUACAUUAUAAAUAAAGAACAUACCCGUGAUGACGUCCAUAGCAUCUCCAUCCUCUCGACGAUAUGCAGUAUAAACUAGAGCCUGCUGCCUUGCCUCAGUAUGACCAGCACCUCUGUCCGGUGCUCUCUGACUAUGGCCCAACCCAUUACCACCUCGAGCCUGACCACGGCCUCUCAGUGGUGGUACAAUACUAAUAAUCAAAGCCUACAUCUAAUUGAAUCUCUGUGAACACUCUUUAAUACGGUGCUCUAAUGAACCACACUUUAAACAAGCCCCAUUUCUUUUCCAACACUCACCCUGAUGGCAUCUACCAUAAUCAAUACACGACAGCUGUCCAGUAGUAGCAAUAGGAACCCCAACACUGAUCGGUCCAUCAACUCUGGCCUUUUUCUUAGGCCUCUGAACGAAACUCGAAGGCUCCGAAUUUCUCUUGCUCCUACCUCUCUCUUGGUUCUGGAACUCAGUACGGUCCACUUUCUCGAUGAUUUUUUCCUUAUCAACUAGUGUAGCAAAGUCCCGUUCCCUCUGUGGAGCUAUCAGAACCCUCAGAUUAUCCCUAAGGCCAUCCUCGAAGCGAACACAUUACUCAUACUCAGUCGCCACCACACCUCGCGCAUAGUAGCUCAGUUACAGAAAUUCGGCCUCAUACUCGGCCCCUAAUCUAUCACCCUGGGUCAAAUUCAAGAACUCUCUCCUAUGAGCAUCUACAUCACUAGCCCCCACAUACUUCCUCUGGAAAGCGGUCUUAAAGAACUUCCAGGUUAGUCGAUUGGGCUGAGUGCCCUCCUUAACAGUGAGCCACCACUGAUAUGCCUCAUCACAUAGUAGCGAUACAACACCUUUUAAUUUCUACUCAGGAGUGCAGUCUAGAUCGUCCAUAAUCCUCUAUGUGGCCUUUAUCUAGUAUUCAGCCACAUAAGGGGCAACUCUAGCAAUACCCCUAAAAAGCUCAGCUCUAUUAGACCAGAGCCAUUCUGUAACCGACUUGCGGCCUCCAGCUUUAGUAUUGGGCCUAGCAACCCUCUCUAAAAUCCUCAAAAUGGCCCGGGAUAGUGCGUUAUCCCCAACCGCUCGAUCAUGAGAUCCAAUAAAGCCAGUUUCUCACUAGUAUCCAAAUUAGGCAGAUUGCCAAAUGACGAAGACCCAGCUCGAGCACCUCUACGGCCUCUACCUUGGCCUCUUGUACUCCAUCUGUGAGUACCUCUAGUGCUCAUUGUCUAAUUGUGUUUUAUCUAUAUUAACAGUUUUAUGCAUCAGCUUACAGUUCCAAUGUUUACUAACAGAUCUUUUAUGAAAACAAUAUCAGAAGUGUAAAAUUUGUUUCAUACAUCGCAGUGUCAAUCAAUGUCUAUCAGUUUUACUACAGUCUCGGUAUACCCUAUUUUGGGUGUUUUCAAUACAAUCUAUCUAUAGUAGUCUUAGUAUAUACUACCUAUAACAGUUUCAAGAUAUACUAUCAAAAACAAUUUCAGAAUAAUUCACAGUUUCAAAAAAUUUACCGGAUCGGCGCCGGAGACUCAGUGUACCCCACUUUCAGUAAAAAUAUUUAGAAAUUAAUUCUUAAAAAAUCACUUCUUAAAAACCCACGUCCAUAGCCGAGUUUUACAACCUGGCUCUGAUACCACUAAAUGUAACACCCCAAAUUCAACUUAGACGUUAUGGCCGAAUCUGACGAUGUCUUGUGAUAGUGCUUUUCGAAAAAUGUCGUUGCUAAAUUCUCUUUUCUAUUUAACCCCUUUUUUAUCUUAUGUUAAUUUCAAAUCAUGUCGUUCGUUUUUAAAAAUUAACCAUUUGCAAAUCGGUAUUCAAUUUCCAAAACAUUUUUCAAUGAGGAAGCUUUUAAACAGUUUGUGUGUUCGUGGUAUUUUGAUAAAACAUCAAUUUCAUUUGAAAACCCGAGUUUUACCUAACACUAGCAUAUUUAAAUCAUAAAACUGUAUAAAUCCAAAUUUAAACCAAAUUUCGUAAAGGCCAUAAUUACAGAAAAAUACUCCCAAAUAAAAGUAAAAUCAUGACUAGGCAAUAACAAUGUAAAAGAAGUCGUGCGGCCACCACUGAGUCCUUCGCUGCACCGACCCACCUAUAUUUAGGGAUUACCUGUACAGAUUAAACAGAAGGGGUGAGUUUACUUAAACUCAGUGUGUAAUCCCUAUACAAAAGAACAGACAGUAACCAGAUAAUCACAGUCUGGGCUUAAGCCCUUUUCAGUAUCAGUAUCAAUCCAGUUUUGGCCUUAGCCCAUCUCAGCACAAGAACAGUCAUACAGUAGGGCUUUAGCCCAUCACAGUAUCAGUAGCAGUAACAGAUAUGCAGUCAAAGAAAUCCUACUCAUCUAGCCUCUACACACUAUCUCCGUCCAACCCUACACUCCAUGUGGGGAUAUAAUCAACCCACCCAUCCCUACACUCUAAGUAGUACCGAAUGUGGCAAUAGACAGUAGUUUGUAGCUGUACUAUCAGUAAAUUAGGCUCGAAGCCUUCAAGUACACUUCCUCCGAACAAUGUCAACCCCCAACCCAAUGCAAUGAAAUAUACAGUUAUGACAUGCUAUUACAUGGUAACAAUACAUACAAUAUCAGUUCAGUGAAACAUCAUCAUACUCGAUAACAUGUAUACCUAUAAAUCAGUCAUACAGUCAUUUCAUUCAAUUACAGGUCUAGGCAAGCUUACCGACCCUACCGUAGGUUCACAGUCGUCUUAGGUGACCCAUGCAACCUUGGCAACAAACCAGUAAAAAUGGGCUCACAUGCCCAUGUUGUCUGCCCGUGUGGCCCACACAGCCUGAAUUAACCUUGGCUAUGUAGAUCACAUGGCCUUGUCCAGAAUCUCACACAUCCAUGUGGGCCACACGGCUCAAAUUGGUCGAGCUCGUGUAUCGCACACAGUCUACCUGACCAUCACACGGUCAUGUCUGGUGCGCACGGCCUGACCUCGUCGAUCACACCCCGUGUUAUGGCACACGGCGUACCACACGGCCUACCAUACGGCCAUGUGGCGUCAACAGCAUAGUUUUUAGCUUUCGUUAAAACCUCGUUUUCUAUAUUUUUAGGUACACACCUUGUUUCGAUUCGAAGCUAAAGCCACCACGAACACUCUAGAACCUAUUAUUGACUAACAUUUCACUCAAUUAGUCACUUAAACGCUCGAAUUAAACUUAACCCCAAAAUAGAAAAGUCUUCUUCCAAGCGGAAAAACCCUUAACUUACAAGCAAUGGACGCUUCCCUCUAUAACUCGACACCAGCACAGACCCUCACAAUUGAUUUUCAACUGUUAACACAGUGAAAAUUAUAAAACACAUUAAUAACUUAAAAACUAAAAUUUUAAAGCACAUUAUCACUUACCGAGCGAGUGUGACCCUAUGUUGCACAAUAUGACAAAUUGAAAACAAAGUUGAAAAGGGAAAUGAAGGAAAUAGGUGGAUUCAGCAAGAAUGAGGGUAAAAUUUGGCAGCAAAGGAAAAAAAUAAAGAAGGAAACGGAAAAGACUUUUUUGCAUAAGAGAAGAAAAAUAACCGGGUAACUCCCAAAUCCCCUAUUUUUCUCCUACUAAACCACAUUCGUUUCAACUACUUCAGUAUUCCAGUCCAUCUCAAACACCCACACGGCAUUAGCAGCAAAAAUAAUGCCCAAGUACAGACUCGAAAACAAAACCUCCCUCAUACCAACACUCCACUUAACCAUUAGACCAGCAGGUCCAUUCUGACAUUAUUUUACAAACAGCUCUACUUAAACCCUUUAAGCAAUGCUAAGGCUUCAAUCAUUAAAAAUUAUAAAGGCUUGAACUUGGGACCUCUCACACACACCCAGAACACUUAACCACUGAAGCAGAUACACACUUGUGUCACAUUUUCAUGAAAGCCAAAAUAAAAAUUUUGGGGCAUUACAUCAUCUCUCAAAACCAUAGUAGAAAGGUUAGCCGUUAGCACUAGAAAGUUCCAACAAAAGACUGAAGCGCAUCUCCAAGAAAUGGAUCAGUAAACAAGUAAGUUAGCUCUUACGAUUAGUCGUUUAGAGAACCUAAAAAAAUUACGAUCUCAAACUGAGUCGAAUCCAUGUCCAAAUGCAAGUGUUGUGAUUGUAAAGAAUAGGAAUGAGUCAAAAUUAGUGCCUAGCACGAGUCUGUCCAUGAAGUUGAACAGAAAGCCGAACUAGCAACUCCCACUAAACCAGCACCUCAUAAACCAUUUGUUGUAACUCCAACAUACCUUAGAAAGCUUGCCCAAUUUAAAAAUGAACGAAAGCAAAAAGAAAUCCUUGGGACAUUCCAAAAGGUAAAAAUUAAUAUUCCUUUACUUGAUGUAAUUAAAUAGGUUCCAUGCUAUGCAAAUUUUUUGAAAGAACUGUGUACCGGAAAAAAAAAACUCUAAGGAAACGAAUAGGUAAAUGUAGAAGAAAACGUUUCUGUGGUGCUACAAAAAAAAUCCCGCCUAAUUGUAAGGACCGUUUUCUAUAUCUUGCAAAUUAGGUAAUAUUGGCAUAAAGAAAGCCAUGUGUGAUUUAGGAGCAUCUAUUAAUGUAAUACAUUUAUCUAUUUUAAAAUUGCUAAACACGGGUCUUUUGAAAGAAACAGGGUUAUUAUUCAACUGGCAAACAGGUAUUGUGUAAAUCUAGAAGGGAUACUAGAAGAUGUUCUCGUAAAGGUAAAUGAACUAAUUUUUCCUGCAGACUUUUACAUCACCAAUAUGGAGGACGACCACUCAAAAAAUGCUUCUGAUAUUCUACUUGGGAGAUCAUUCCUAAGUACUGCAUUUACAAAUAUUGAUGUUUGUAGUGGAACCCUCACUCUGGAAUUUGAUGGUGAGGCAGUAAAAUUUAAUGUUUAUAACGCGAUGGGCCAACCCAGCACGUCAAAUAUUUCCAGUGUUAAUAUUAUUAAGCCACUAACAAAAUUUCAUUAGGUGUAUCAUGAAGGGGAUAGAUUACAAACUAUACUUUCUUUAACACCCCUAAAGUGACCCUAGUCGGAAAGUGGUUUCGGGACCACUAAACCGAGUUAUAAAGAUAAUUAACCGUCAUAGUUGAUGCUCAUUAUAUGUACAUAUGCAUGUGUGAAAAUUUCAUGUUUGAAUUUUGUUAAUAGUAAGUGAAUUUUAUCAAAUAGGACUUAUGUGAGAAAAUUUAGAAAUGUGCUAGGCAAAUGUAAAGUGGCCUAAUAAUGCAUGUUGUGAAAUGAUGGGUUUGCAUGUCAAAUUACCCAAAAUUAAAGCAUAGUGGCCGGCCAUGCUAUGGGUGGAAACAUGUUGCAAACAUGUUGUGUUAGUGAGUUAUGUUAGAAAGAAUAAAGAAAAGGGGUUAGGAUUAAAGUAAUGCAAAAAGGUGGAGUGAUGAAAAAAAAAUGGUCUCAUCCAUGCCCCCCCUUUUGCCGUGAAUGGAAGAAAGGAAACAAAGAAAAAAAAAGUGUUCAUCCUAGAACAUCUUUGGCCGAAUGUUCUAAGGAGGAAAGGAAACAAGUUGUGUUCUUUGGUUUUUCUUGGCCGGAUUGAGAGGAGGAGGGAAGAAGCUAGGCAUUCGGUCUUCUACUUGCUUAAUUAAGGUAAGUUUUAGGUAAAUUCUUUGAGAUUUUAUGAAAUUUUAGUUGAUGGAUAGGUCUUUGAUUGAGCCCAUGUGUGAAUUUUGAUCCUUGUGGUGAUUUGGGCAUGCGGUUAAGGUAGGAAACUUAGAAGAUGAUUUCUAUUCCUUAUGUUUUAUGAGUUGGGAGCUUAAAUUGAAGAUGAAUAAGGGGAAUAUGUGUAUAGAGGUUUUAGUAGUAUGGAAAUUCGGUUAUGAGAGUGUGUGUGUGCUCACUUGCCGAAUGUGGGUGUCAAGAUUAGUAGGUUGGCUUAAUUCUUGUAUUAGAAAUCUAUUUGAGAAAUUAGAUAGGCUUUGAAUGGUUGAAGUAAUGAAAUUAGAAACUCAUGAACUUGAUUUAAAUAUUUUAAAUUUAUGGUAGUUAAAUGGAAUAGAAAGGAUCUAUUCGGCCAUGGAGGUUAAACACAUUGUUAAAUUGUUGAAUAUAAGCUUUGGUUGUUAAUGAAUAUUCGGUCUUGGUAUGAAUCUCAUUAAUAACAUUUAGUUAUUAGAUUUGGUAUAAAAUACUUAUUGAAAUGGUGGAAUUGGAUGACUUACUUAUGGAUUUUAGUUAUGAGAGUCUUUUGUAAGUAGAGCUAGAGGGUUUAAAGGGUGGUGUUUUAAAAUAAACAUGUAUAUGGACCCUAUGUAUGUACCUUGUAAUGUUAUUGUAAACUUUUGGUUUAACUUGUGUCAUAUUAAUUGCUAAAAUACUAGCUUGUGUGGAAAAUUUUGUGUAUGUUUUUAUGUGCCGAAUGUGAGUUAAAAAAAUGGAGCUCACUAUGUGUAUCAUGGUCAACCUUUGAUAACUAAUAUGUCUUGAUUCGUAAAUUGAGUUAAAAGAUUAUAUAUGUUCGAUCUAGCCUAAGUUAGGCUUGACUUGUAACAUAGUAAUGAUUGACUGAACGUAUAUGUGUGAGAUAGUGAGGAUAAUUGUAUUUCUUGCUUUGAUUAAGUGAAGUAUAUGAAGUUGAUAUACUUAAUUUACUUAAUUAAGCUCAAGAGCUUAGAGGACCAAAGUUGGAUAAAGGAAAGGAAAAAGUGAUCGAAUAGCCGCCGAAAUCGUUCAACAACAUCCGAGGUAAGUUUUAAGUGUUUAAACGUUGAGUAAAUUCAAUUAUAAUAGGACAUGAUGAGUUGAUUUAAUAAGAUAAGAUGUGGCCAUGAUAUGUUCUAAGCUCAAAUGGUAAGUUCUUAAGUGUUUGAGCUUGGGAAUUUAAGGGUAAUUUGAAAUAGUCUGCUUCGGACAGCAGCAGUAACGUGACUUUAGAAAAUCACCAUAAAUUCAUGGACUUGAAUUAGAGGCUGAUUGAGACAUGAAAUUAAAGCUUAAUGAGUCUAGAUUCAAAUGAAAUCAAAUACAACACAUUUCGAAUUCUGUAAAAUGAGAAAUUUGAUUCGUAGUGAAGAGUAGUCAGAUUAGUCAAACAGUGAAACAGGGGAAACUUUAAGAAAAAUCUGGUAUUGAUUGGCCAAACCUAAAAUUCUGGAAAUUUUAUGGAUGGAAGAUAUACGAGUCUAUAUUCAGGAAAAAUUAACGGAAAGUGAUUUGGAGUUUUGUAGCUCCAGUUAUAAAUAAUUUAGUGACUAUUGCUCAGGAAAAACAGCUUGUACUGAAUUUGAGAUUAUGUUGUGAACCUUGAUAAACUUGUUUUAGUUGCUCAUAAGCUAUUGAUUAAACCCAUACUUGAAUUCUAAAUCGUGGUAUUGUAAGUUUAUGAGUAUUCGAAUAUGAAAUGAUAGUAAGGCCUAAUGGCCGAUGUGAUGAACGUGAAAGUGUAUAUAUGUGAUAAGGCCUAAUGGCCGAUGUGAUGAAUGUGAAAGUGUAUAUAUAUGUGAUAAGGCCUAAUGGCCGAUAUGAUGAAUGUGAAAGUGUAUAUACGUGAUAAGGCCUAAUGGCCGAUGUGAUGAAUGUGAAAGUGUAUAUAUGAGAUAAGGCCUAAUGGCCGAUGUGAUGAAUGUGAAAGUGUAUAUACGUGAUAAGGCCUAAUGGCCGAUGUGAUGAAUGUGAAAGUGUAUAUAUAUGUGAUAGGGCCUAAUGGCCGAUGUGAUGAAUGUGAAAGUAUAUAUAUGUGAUAGGGCCUAAAGGCCGAUGUGAUGAAUGUGAAAGUGUAUAUAUAUGUGAUAGGGCCUAAAGGCCGAUGUGAUGAAUGUGAAAGUGUAUAUAUGUGAUAAGGCCUAAUGGCCGAUGUGAUGAAUGUGAAAGUAUAUAUAUGUGACAGGGCCGAGUGGCCAACGUGAUGGAUGUGAAAGUGUAUAAAUGUGAUAAGUCCCGAAGGGCAUUUGUGUCAGUACUAUAUCCGGGUUAAAACCCCGCAGGCUUUAUGCGAGAAUAUUAUCACUGAUUAAUGUCCGUAAGCUUCGUGCUCGUACUAUAUCCGAGCUCUAAAGACCCGAUGACUACGUGUGGGGAUUUUGUCCGGGUAAGACCCGAUAACUUCGUGUGGAGAUUAUGUCCGGGUAAGACUUCGUAAUAAGAAUUGCUUAUAAAUAUAUUCAAUGCGAAAGGUUAAACAAGUAUGUACUCCAAGUUUAUAUGUGAGCUUGAUUUGCACUAAAUCAUAAGGUAGUUAUGUGAUGCAUACGAGAGCAAUCUAUGAGAUGCGCGUAUUCGGUAAAGGGAUGGUAUGCCCGAAGGAAGAGUGAAAUAAAAAUACGAACAACUAUGUUAUAAUUUGAUUGUUAUCUGUUGACACUGCUUAAAACUUACUAAGCAUUGUAAUGCUUACUCCGUUUACUUUGUUUCCUCUGUUUUAUAGAUAUCAUUGCGAAGCUACAGGCUCGGGGAUCGUCAGCAACUAGUCACACUAUCACUAUCCACUGUUUGGUACUGCUAUGUUUUGGAUUAUCUUAUGGCAUGUAUAAAAUAGACUAGUGGCGGAGGAAUAUUUUGGUUAAUGUAUAUAGCCAUGCGAAAAUGGCUUAUAUAUGUUUGAGCAUAAUGUUAUAAUCAUUUGGUAUGGAAUGGUUAAUCACUAUCAUAAUUUGUGCUAUUUAUGCUAAAAGGGCUAGUUGAAUCAUGGAAACUAUGAAGUAGGUAAAGUCUACCUUAAAGGCAGAUGCUGGCAGCAGCAGUGAUAUAGAUUUGGAAAAUCACUAAAAACAGUAGGAUUGGAAUUAAAUAAUGAAUAAAUUAUGUAAACGAACCUUAAUGAAUCCAUUUUCAUAGGAAAGUAACGAAACGAUCAUAUGGACAGUAUGUUAAGAGAUAUUCAGGUUCUCGUGAGACAGGGCCAGAACGGGUUCUGGACUUCCUGUUCCGAAUUUGGAAAUUCAUUACAAAUUAACCAGAGAUAAUUAGGAGUCAUGCCAUAUAUUUAUAGAUUCCUCUCUGAGUCUAGUUUCUAUAGAAAUAAACGGCAUCAGUAUUGAAGCUCUGUGCAGGGAGAUAUCCAAGUCGUAAUGCGCAAAGGUCAGUGUAGUCGAUCCCUGUAACAUGGGAGACUUUGACUACUAAACUGUAUUAAUUGGCCUGACCAAAAAUUCUAGAAAAAAAUAUGUAGAUGGGCAUAUGAGUCUAGUUUCAGGGAAAAAUCACGAAACUAAUUUUCGAGUUGUGAAACUCAAGAUAUGAUUUUUAAGGUGACAGUGACGCAGUUAGCCGACUGCCUGGAAAAAUUUUAAAAUGGACUGCAAUAGUAAGCGAACUUAGUCUGUGAACCCCUCGUGUCCGACUCCGGCAACGGUCUCGAGUACGGGGUGUUACACUUUCCAAAAGUUUAGAUAUCAAUACGAAGGAUAAAUUGGAAAAGAUAAUGACGUUCAGAGAACCGAUUCAAGAAACCUUAUUCUAUUGGAGACUUCUCAAUUCCCUAGAAGCCAAAGUAAGUACUUUGAAAUUUCUCCUUCUAAAACUAAACUGUUGCCUUCUAUUUUGCAGGCCCCAAAAAUAGAGCUUACACCAUUGCCAGAACACUUGAAGUAUGUCUAUCUAGGUAAUAGAAACAAUUUACUGGUAAUAGUUUUAAGUAAACUUUCAGGAUUGGAAGAGGGGAAUUUAAUUCAAGUCUUAAGAUACUAUAAAGGGGCUAUCAGAUGGACGAUUACCGAUAUAAAAGGGUUAAGUCCCUUGACUUGUAUGCACAGAAUACCAAUAGAAGAAAACACAAGCCCAAAGAGAGAAGCUCAAAGACGCCUUAAUCUACUAAUGAUAGAGGUUGUUAAAAAAGGAAAUACAAAAGCUAUUGGACAUUGGGAAAAUCUAUCCAAUUUUUAUAGUAAUUGGGUCAGCCCAAUUCAUGUAGUACCCAAGAAAACUGGUAUGACUGUAAUAAAAAAUGGAACAGGAGAUUUAGUUCCCACUCGAGUCCAAAAUGAGUGGAGAGUAUGUAUAGAUUACAGAAAGUUGAACCCUUUUAACUCGGAAAGACUACUUUUCACUUCUUUUUAUUGAUCAAAUGUUAGAAGCGGGAAAAACUCACUACUAGUCUUGAUGGUUAUACAGGUUUUUCCCAAAUUCUAGUGGCACCGAAGGACCAAGAGAAAACAACGUUUACAUGCCCCUUUAGCAUGUUUGCCUACAGACGAAUGUUGUUUGGACUUUGCAAUGCACCUGCCACAUACCAGAGGUGUAUGGUAAGUAUACUUUCUGGCUAUGUCGAGAAAAUAAUUAAGGUAUUUAUGGAUGAUUUUACAGUUUGUAGAAAUUCUUUCAAUUAAUGUCUGUCAAACCUCGUUAAAAUUUUGGAGAGAUGUCUAGAAUUUACUCUAAUUUUUAAUUAUGAAAAAUGCCAUUUUAUGGUAGAUAAGGGAUUUACUUUAGGGCAUAUUGUUUGCGCUGAAGGGAUUAUGAUCGAUAAGGCCAAAACUAAUGUUGUUAUUAACUCACUUCCAUACCCCACAAUUGUGAGGGAAAUUCAUUCUUUUCUUGGUCAUGCAAGUUUUUACAGGUCCUUUAUUAGGGACUUUUCUAAUAUUUUGCAACCGCUCUACAAUCUAAUGCAAAGAGAUAAAGAUUUCAAAUUUGAUCAAUCAUGCAAAGAUGUGUUCGAUAUUCUCAAACAAAAGCUUGCUUUAGCUCCUAUAGUAUAGCCGCCAAAUUGGGACUACCCUUUCGAGCUUAUGUAGGAUGCAAGUGACCAAAGUGUAGGAUGUAAGGAACCUCAAGUCAUAUCCUAUGCCUCAAAACACUAGAUGCUGGCCAGAGCAAUUACUCAACUACUGAAAAAGAAUUAUUAGCUAUUGCUUUUGCUUUGGAAAAAUUUAGAUCAUAUUUAUUAGGCACUAAAUUUAUUAUUUUUUCUAACCAUUCAGCGUUGAAAUGUUUGAUCGAAAAAAAAAAGCAAAACUCAGGUUGAUUCGAUGGAUUCUUCUAUUACAAGAAUUUGAUCUCGAGAUCAAUGACAAGAAAGGAAGUGAGAACUUAGUAGCUGAUCAUUUUAGUUGAAUUCCCUUUUCAAAAGAUGACAUACCUCUUAAAGAUAACUUCCUGGAUGAAAGUCUUCUGUCAGCUCAAACAGUUUACCUAUGGCUUGCAGAUAUAGUAAAUUACCUCGCUACAGGUAUUGUUUCUUCCAACCUCUCAUUUUCUAAAAAGGACAAGUUCAAAAGAGACUCAUGGUAUUAUAUUUAGGAUAAUCCAUACCUAUGGAAACACUACUCCAAUCAGGUAAUUCGACGAUGUGUCGCAGAAACCGAGGUACAAUCUAUCUUUUCUUUUUGUCAUUCUUAUGCUUGUGGAGGGCAUUUCGAUCCUAAAUGCACCGCAAAUAAGGUACUUGAGUGUGGAUUAUUUCGGCCACACAUAUUUCAUGACGCUUAUUUAUUUUGCAAAACUUGUAAGAGUGGUCAAAAAGUGGGGAAUUUAAGCUGAUAGAGUAAGAUGCCCCUAACACCUAUACAUGUAUGUGAAAUUUUUAUAUGUGGGGCAUCGAUUUUAUAGGACCAUUUAUUUCAUCAUUUAAUAAUGUUUACAUUAUUCUCGCUGUAGACUAUGCAUCUAAAUGGGUAGAAGCUAAAGCUACCCAACAUACUGAUGCUAAAACUGUAGUGGAUUUUCAAACAAACUUUAUUUUUUCCAAGUUUGGCACACCGAGAGCAUUAAUGAGCGAUUGAGGAACUCAUUUCUGCAACAAGGUAAUUGAUACUUUACUAAAAAAGUAUAGGUGACACAUCGUGUGGCCACGGCUUAUCACCUACAAACAAACGGUCUAGCGGAAGUUCAAAACUAUGAAAAAAAGUCGAUUCUGGAAAAGACCGUGAAACCAAAUAGGAAAGACUGGAGCUUACAAUUAAACGAUGCAUUGUGGGCAUAUCGUACUACUUACAAGGGACCCAUAGAAAUGUCCCCUUACCUAUUCAUAUUCGGUAAACCGUGUCACCUUCUAGUGGAGUUAGAAUAUAAGGCAUUUUGGGUAGUAAAAAGAUGCAACAUGGAGUUGGACGCCGCAGGUAAUUAUCAAAAAUUAAACAUUCAAGAACUCAAAGAGAUCAAGCGAGACGCAUAUGAAAACGCCCAAAUUUAUAAUGAAAAAACCAAGACAUUUUAUGACUAGAAAAUAUCUCACAAACAAUUUUCAGUUGACCAGAAAGUGUUACUUUACGAUCCUACACUGAGAAUUUUUUCGGGUAAACUUCGAACCAAAUGGCUUGGUCCUUUUGUUAUUACUAAAAUAUUUCCUCAUGAUGUAGUUGAAAUUAAAAGCGAGGAAUUCGGGAAAUGUUUUAAAGUUAAUGAUCAAACGUUAAUGAUCAAAGGUUAAAACCCUUUUACGAGAACUUUCAAGUAUACGUGGUGGAGGAAUUAUUUUUUGAGGAGCCGAACGAGUAAAUUUUCUAAGUCAUCAAGCUAACGACAUUAAAAAAAGUGCUUUAUGAGAGGCAACCCAUAUUUAUUUUUAUUUAUUUUAUUUAAUUUUGAAUUCUAGUUUAGUUUGAGAAUUAAAUAAAUAUUAUUUUAAUCCAUUUGAUCAUGCUAUUUUCCAGGAGCAACCACCUUCUACUGUAGAUAAACAACUUCAUUGCAUUAAAGUUUGCCUCGAAAUAGUAGAAGCCAGCAUCUCAAGCAUCCUCAACAUACUACAAAGCGAUCACUUCCACUGCCCUCCAGCCUAUUAAAUAUAAACGGGGAGUACAUUUUCUCCACUCAUAUUAUUCUUUUUGCACAUUGGGGGCAAUGUAGGCUAAGUAGGAGGAAUUUUGCAUCAUGUCAUACUUUCUUUUUGCAUGUGUUUUGCUAAGAAUUAUUUCUUAAUUCGUUUCAGAAAUAAACUUUUAAUUAUUAUGUUUAGUUUAUUUAAAUAAGUGGGUGAAUAAUAAAUAACUAUUGCUAGCUUGAUCAAUGAAUAUUUUGUAGAAUUGAAAAUGUGAUGCCUUAGUCAAUAUUUAAUGAAAAUUGUUGGUUUUGUUGAAUUUGCCUAAUAAAAGUACUCAGUUAAAAAUAAAUAAAUAAGUUUGCUAAUAGCUUGGUUAAGAGUGAAGAUUCAAAAAUGUGACCAAGUUGAGUAACCGGGAUGAGGUGUUUGGGUUGUCAUCUCAUUUCGCGUCAAAAGAUUUGGUGACGAGCAGAAGCUUGUAACACUCCGCUAACUAAGCUGCCUUGAAAUAAAUCGAUUAGGGACAUAUAAAAUUGAGUAACAAGGAUGAGGUGCUUUGGUUGUCAUUUCAUUUCGCAUUAAAAGGUUCGAUUAUGUCUCGAAUUCGUUAAAAAUAAAUAAAGAGAAAGUGUCGGGUUAAGUAACCGAGGUGAGGUGCUUGGUUGUCAUCUCACUUCGCAUUAAAAGACUUGACUACGUUUAAAAAUAAAUAAAACAAAAAAAUAAAAAAUGUAUAUAGAUAUAAAUAAAAGUAUAUAUUGGGUAUGACCGUUUCGCAUGUUUGAUUGAGCCUAAAUUUAGUGAAAUAGUUGAGUUUGACAUAUUGUUUGAGAUUUUAUAAAUGUUUAUUGAUUGAGUUUAGCAAUUGUUUAUUUUUUAUUCACCUAAUUGUUUUAUGUAUGCUUGACUAAAAAAGGGGGUUUUGAUUUUAAAAGGGAUUGACAAAUUAUUUUUAGUGUAUAUCAUGCUUGAGGACAAGUAUCGGCUAAGUAGGGGGAAUUUGAUAGCAAGAUAAAUUCGUAUUUUUUAUAUAUUUAUUUUUGGCUAAUUAUCAAAUGAAAUGCUAUUAAAUUUGGACUUUUCUUAUCAGGAAUGAAGUUGGUGUGCUAAAUUCAAACUCUUACAAAAGGGGGCUAAAUUGGAACAAAAAGUAAAGAGGAGGGCUUGAUUGAAAUAUUGAACAUUCACAAACGACUGGAUAAGAUUGAAGGGUUGAAGAUUUUUUUUUAAAAAAGUGGUUAGAUAAAGAUUGAAAGAUUUUUUAUAUUGUUACAACUUUAUAAUUAGUUUAAAUUCUAUGUUAAAUUUGAUUUUUAAAUUUAGAAUUAUGUAGUGAUAAUAUUUAAUGAUGAUAUUAAGAAUUAUUUAGUGAUAAUAUUUAGAAAAAAUCUAGCUAAAAUUUAACACUAAAAGUGUGUAUAAAUACCUAAUGCCUACAACCAAUUGAACACACUGUUACAUUUAAUAAAAUUCUUUAUUUUUUUUCCUUACCUGCAUCACUGUUACAUUCUGCUAUUUCAAUUUUUUUCUUUUACUUUCAACCUUUUGGUUUAAUUGCCUUCCAAGGCCCUUCCCCUUUCCAUAACCCACAAUUCCACAAAUCUAUUUUCAAAGCAUGAUUUUUUUCAUGAUUAACUAAACCCUUUUUAGCUUUAGCCCAAAAAUUGCUCUAAUAAAACAAUUGUGAGAUACGAACCCACUCAAAAAAACCUUUCAAUGCAGUAUUUUCUAUCUUUCCGGUAUAUGGGAUAGUACAAAUUCAUCCUUUAAAGUUGAUUCAGCUUCGAUUCAAAAAGUGCAUGUUGGGUUGGAGUUGUUUGGUGUACAGUUGGGAAGACGAAUCAGUCAUGUUGUGUUCGAAUUCUCGUGAACAAAUUGGUGUAUCUAGGUGAAAAAAGCCAGUUGGAUUCCGUCAAGGGAGAUAGAGAUAAUAUUUAAACGACCCACGCGAUUGAGGCCAUUGAUUCAAGUUGGGUUUUUCAGAUCGCAAGGCUGUAAAAAUCUUAAAUUGCGAACACGAAUAUCGCAAUUAGAAAUUUGGCAAGAGUCAGUUUGUAGGUCAUACCAGGAUUGACUACAUAAGGAAAAGUUGGCGGUCGGGACGUUCUUGGUCGCUAUAACCAACUACAUAAGUAAAAGUUGACGGUCAGGACGUUCUUGGCGCUAUAACCAACUUAUUGCUUUGAAGGGAAAAUCUAUUUCAAGGAUCGAUUCAAGAUUGGAAUACACCAAGGCUAAGGCUAAGCUUAAAAAAUAUUUUAUUUAUCCAUUUGUUUUAUUUUCUUAAAUUUGUUUUUACAUUUUUGAAUUCUUUUAUUUUAUUUUAUUUUUCGUAUUUUCUUAUUUUCUUAUCUUAAUCAAUUUAAACCCCCCAUUUUUAUUUUUAUUUUCAACAUUUCUACGCACAAGUCGUGGGCAUGACUGUGAUUGUGACAGCGAUUCUGGUCACGGGAAAAAGCGAAAUUAGAUAGGCAGUCCCUGUGGAUUCGACCGUACUACUCUAUACUACCAUUUACUGUUAUUUUGUUGUAGGAAUUUAUAUUUGGUGGUUUCGACGCCCAUUAUCCUCCAAAUUGGGAUACGUUCAUUUUUAUGUUCCAUUUGAUUUGGAAGUUAUCUUACUCUACAUGAUUUUCAGUAGUGGACGAGUAUAUCACACUCAUUAAAUUUGGUUAGCUAUGAGAUAAAGAUUGUGUCAAAGCUAGAGCUCAUUAGUCUUUUAAAAAACAUCUUUUGUUGUUUAAGGUGUACGAUGGUAAUCUACGCCCUUCGAACUAUCCAUUUGUUGAGGCGGAUUUCUAAGUUCAAGUUUAUGCUCUACCUUCAAACUUGUUGGUUGCUAGUACUGCUAAGCAUAUAGGUGCUUGCAUUGGCCAAUUUUGUCUGUUUGAUUCUAAUUUAGCGAAGUUGAGUUGGAGGCAGUUUAUGCGCUUUUGUGUGGCUCUUUCAAUUUCCUUUGACCAAGGGCGAAGAUAAAAAAACUUUUUAGGGGAUCAAAAUUAAAUUGUAAUUUUUACGAUAGUAAAAAUGCAAUUUCACCCUUUUAAUAGUUUAUAUAUUUAUAAUUUUUAAAGGAUUAAAUUAAAUUUUUAUCUUUAUAAGGGCAAAGUGUAAUUUUACCUUUACUAAUUUAAAAUUUUAAAAAUUUUAAAGAGCCUAAAUAGAAAAUUUUCCAUUUCAGAGGAGGCCACACCCCUGCCAGUCCCCCUAGCUAUACCUGUAACAGCCCGAUUUUGGGCCUAGUCAAAAUAGUGGUUUUGGGACCACUAAAUCGGGGUUGGAGAAUUUUUUUUUAUUUUAUGCGUUGUGGCAUGAUUAUAUGAGUAUAAAAUUUUUGGUGAAUUAAUUUUAGUGAUUGCACGCUUAUUUGGGAAAAAAACUAAUUCGCAUAAAGGGUAAAAUUACUAUUUUACUUGAUAGACAUACCAAAUAGCUAGAGAGCCAUAAUUGGAAGUCUUUAAAGGGCAGUUAGACCCCCUCCAAGAGGCAUGGCCGGCCAUAGGGACAAGGAAAUCAAUGGGUCAAAUGGUUAGGUAAUUUGAUGACCUAAUUUUGACUAGAAUAAAAAUAAAAUAAAGAGAAAAGAUAUCAUCUUUUUUUCUAUCAUCUUCUCCACCGAAAAUUCAGCCAUUGUAAGGGGUUUUGAGCUUCAAAAAUUUCAGCCACUCUCUACUCUUGCAAGUAAGUGACCUUGAUGGUUUUUCUUGAAAAUUUUUUAUAUUUUUAGAACCCUUGUAGCAUGAGCUUUCAAAUGAAGAGACUAUUUUGCAAAAUGGUUGAAAGUCUAGAGUUUUUCCAUGAUAGUAGACAUGUUUUCUGAAAUUUUAUGGAAGAAAAUGAAUCAUAGUGGUGAAAUAAACAACUUUUGUGAAGAGAUUUCUCAUGAAAACCCUAAAAAUGACCAUUUUGCAUAAGUUGUAAAAUAGGUGAUAAAGGUGUGAAAUAUUGAGAAUUUUGGACUGCUUCUAGUGUAAAAAGUAAUCUACUAGGCUUAAUAUAUGAAGAAAUUCGAUAAAAAUCGAUUUUCAGACCUAAGGGUAAAAUGGUCAUUUUGUAAAAGUCUAGGGGGCCAAUUUUAAAUUGUUCAGUAUCUAGAUUAAUAAAAUGAUUAAAUAUGUGAAUUUUUAUCAUUUUAGAUCAAGAAUUACAAAAUUCGGGCCUAGACCAGAGAAAAGCGAAGCAAGUGGACUAAGUCUAGUCGUCUACAUUUUGUAAUCCGAGGUAAGUUGUAUGUAAAUAAUACAACUACAUUGUUAUUAUAUAUUGUUGAAUUGAGAUAGCAUGAAUUGCUUGUUUGUGGAAAUAAUCAUGUAUGAUGAAUAUUGAGAUAGUAGGACUCCCAUUUGAACAUUAGGAAAUAAAUCAGAUAUUUAGGCCAUGACAUUCGGGACAUUUGUGUGCUAGUGUAAGACAUGUCUGGGACAUGCAUUGGCCACAUUAUGAGAGCCAAUGUAAGACCAUAUCUAGGACAUGGCAUCGGCAUUGAGACGAGAGCUAGUGUAAAACAUGUCUAGGACAUGCAGCCAGUGUAAGACAUGUCUGAGACAUACAUCAGCUACAUGAUGUGUCAGUGUAAGACCAUGUCUAGGACAUGGCAUCGGCACGGAUACGUGAGAGUCAGUGUAAAACCAUGUUUGGGACAUGGCAUCGACUUAACGUGAGAGCCAGUGUAAGACCAUGUCUAGGACAUGGCAUUGGCAUUAUACCCUAUGUUUAAGGCUUAGUGACUAUCCGAUAGUAUUUCAAAUGGUUCAACGGUGAGAGUUAUAGUUUAAGUUAAAUGAGAAAAGUAUAACCAUGUUGUGAGUGAUACAGGUACCUAAAUGAAAUGCAUGAGAUGUGAUCUUAGUAUUGCUAUGUGAAUUGUGUUAGAUAGUGACGAGUAAGUUGUGCUUAUACCUAUUUAAUUGUUAUAAACGUGAUGAUGAAUAGUAAAGUUGUCGUUAUAUUUAUUUUCAUGCAACUUACUAAGCUUUAUGCUUACCUUAUUUCUUUCCAUUUUCUUAUAGUGCCGUCUAAUUAGCUCGUGGAUCAACGAACUUUGGAGGCAUUGAUCACAUUAUCAAUCGAAGCACUUGGUAUAGUUAGAUCUAUAUAUUUUAAUUAUGGCAUGUAUAGGACCCUGACUUUAGAAUUUUGUGUCAUUGUUAAUUGGCCAAAUGUGUUGGCCUACUAUAUCAUUUUGAUUCAUUUUGCAUAAGGCCACGAAAAUGGCUACAGUUGAAAAUUGUUAUAUGAAUAUAAGAAGUUAUUACAUGAAUGGGUAAUUUUGUUGGUUGCUUUAGUGAAUAUGAAAUGUGUAAAGGCCUUAGAUGUAGUCGUUGAAUUGAGGAAUCAUAUUAUGAUGAUCUUUAGCAUGAUAAAUGUUGUUAGUUUGUAUUUCAGGGUGGAAAAGGGCUUGGUAAAUAGCCCUAUGUUAUCCACACGGGUAGACACACGGGCGUCUGUCUAGGCCGUGUGGACACACAGCUAACCCAUGGGCGUGUUGUUCGGCCGUGUGUCCCUUGCACGUAAAAAUUUCAAGUCAGUAUGCAUGGUAGUAAAAAUAUGGGCAGAGACACGACUGUGUGUCUCAGCCGUGUGAAGGGCACGACCUAGCACACAGGCGUGUGCCUUAACCAUGUGACCCUCAAUAUUUUUAUACACGGGCAUGACAUGGCCGUGUGAGAAACACAGGCCAUAGACACGGGUGUGUGUCAUGCCGUGUGAAAACCCCUGUAGGUUCGAAUUUAGAAUUUAAUUCACACGGGCGUGGGACACGAGCGUGUCCCUAGAGGCUUAGGCCAUAUGUGUCACACGGGCCAUCAGCAUGGCCAUGUUAUAAUGAACACACGGGCGUAUUGCCCUUCCACACGCGCGUGUGCCCUGUUUCAAAGGUUAUUUUUUUAAAGUCGAUUAAAGACCUGAGCCGGUCCCGAGUGGUUCCAAAUGGACGUUUGAGGCAUCGUAGGCCUUUGUUAAGGAGUUUAGUUAAAGUUUUAAAUUUGAUCAAGUUUAGAUGACUCGAGAACGUUGAAAAGCAUGUGUUUAAGUGAGGUAAUGCCUUGUAUUCCGUCUCGGUGUAGGACUCGGAUGUGGGGUGUUACAAUACCUUUACUUUUGACUCCACUCAUAUCAUUUCUUGGUACCAAUGGAAAACCAAUACAGGGUCUUCUUAAGUAUGAAUGGUUGCAUGUUUUCUGCUAUGUUUGUCGGCUCCUAGGAUAUAAUAAGUUUGACUAUGAGUGCCCCAAUUCUACUAAUGGUGCUUGGGAUGAUGAUCAACAAUAUGGUGACUAGAUCCGAGCCUCCAUCACCUCAAGAAAGUGAACUUCAAUGAAAACCCAACUUGGAGCAACCAAUUGUUGAAGUUGUGACACUAAGUGUGUGGUGUCGCGAUAUUAAGCCUUAAAGUCACAACUACAAGACCUUGAGAUUGUGACUCUAAGCUAAUUUUUGAAGUGAAGAAACCCAAUAGCCAUUAUCAUCGAGGUCACGACACCAAAAAGGUUAUGUCAUGACAUCAAGUGCCCCCUGCCAUGGGUGUCACAGCACCAAAGUCUAACAAGUGAAAAAAAUAUAGGGAUGAUUUUCUAUCCAAACAAGCUUAAGUCACUUUUCAUUUGAAGACAUAAUUAUCUUUGUUAGGUUGAAUGUUAGUAGACUAUAUAUAAUAUUUUAUAAUCUUUUGGGAGUGGAUUUUUAGAGGCUAAACAUUUUCUUAAUCCCUUCCGUUAUAGCCUAUCCUUAGUCAUUUCCUUCGAAUUCAAUGUUUAAAGUUAAUUUUGAUGUUGGGUUCUCUGCACAUAACAACAAUGAUGGUGUGAGGGUUGUUAUUAGGGACUCCAAUAGUCUUUUAAUGGGUCCUUCUAUGAAUUUCAAGUCUUACUUCGUGGAUUCUUAGAUGGAAAAGGCAGUUGCUGGGAAUUCUACUUUUUGAUUUGCUCUCAAUUUGGGGCUUCACGGGAUUAUUUGGAAGGUGAUGCUUUCACUGUUAUCAAAAUUUUUUCUUCCACCCGAGCUAACAAGUCUCGAUUGGGUACUUUGGGCAUAAUGCUCGAAUUUUGGUUGUUAUGUUUGACUGGUGUGAAUUCUGACACGUUCAUCGCACUAGAAAUUAGGUCGCCCUUUUUCUGGACAAGGAAGCUCUAAAUGUUGCAUCUGACCUCUUCUGGGUGGAAGAAGGGCCUGCAUUUUUGUUUCCACGGCUUCCUUGUGACUUGGCUUCAUUUUCAUAGUUGCUUGGUCUUUUAACUACCAUUGAUUAGACUUGAUCAUUGGUCAGGUUAGGUUCGAGCCGGGCUAAUAUAAAAUUUUAGGCCCAUUUUUUAUGUGCUCAACUCGAAAAAUAAGUCUAAAUUUUUAUCCAAGCUAGGUCCAGAAAAAAAAAUGUUAUGCAUAUCUAUCUAUGGACAUCUAGGGAAAAUGUUAUAAAUAACUUUAAAGUGAAUGUCUACUUUAGGACUUUAAUAUCCAUUAGAAUUAGAAUUCUACUUCUUAUAUACAGACUUAAAAAUUUUAUAUAUAUCAUAUUAAAAAAUAAAUAAUACUUAUUUAUCUCUUUAUUUUCUAUUUUUUACUUAUUUUUUGAAAUGGAAAUGUUUUCAUUAAAGACUGUUAUAAAAUUAACCAAGAAAUAAUCAAGAGAGUGCAUCGAUAUAGAGCACUGAUAGACUAAACUAACAAGACAGUAGAAAACCAAAAUACUAGAGGAAAAUAAACAGAUAACCCUCCAGAAAAACCGAAGCUACAUCAAUGGUAGACCUGAUCAUAAGUCAGGCCACCUACCCAGGCCCGAAGGCUUGCCCAAAAAGUAAAAGGGUUUGGGCAAAAAUAUAGGCUCGAAAAAUGGGCUUGAUAAAAAAAUAAGGCAUGUUUUCUAAAUAGAAUAGGCCGGGACAUCCACCCAAGCUUAAAGACCCGCCCAAAAAGUGGAAUAAAAGUAUAGGCCCAAAAAAUGGGCUUAGACAAAAAAUAAGGCUCGUUUUCUAAACAGAAUGGGUCGGGCCUCGAGUAAGAUUUUUUUGCCUAGGCUCGACCUAACCCAGCCUAAAUUUGAUUAAAAUGUUUUCAUUGUUGUUUUGUUGUUAUUGUUUGAAUAUUGUAUAACUGUUGUUCUAUUAUUAAUUUUGCUAAUAUUUUAGAGGUAUUUGCUUGUUAUAUUUGAUGUAUUAUAUUUUUUUAAUUUGUUUUUAUAUAAAAAAAAUUUAAUAUGGGUAGAUCGGACUAAGCUCGGGUUUAACAUUUUUUAUCUAGACCUAGCUUGGAUAAAAAUUUAGACUUAUUUUUCGAGUUAAGCCCAAACCUAAAAAACGGGCCUAAAAUUUUACAUUAGCCGGGCUUGAACGUAGCCUGACCAAUGAUCAGGUCUAAUCAAUGUAGUUAAAAGACCAAGCAACUAUGAAAAUGAAGCCAAGUCACAAUGAAGUUGUGGAAACAAAAAUGCAGGCCCUUCUUCCACCCAGAAGAGGCCAGAUGGAACAUUUAGAGCUUCCUUGUCCAGAAGAUAAGUGACCUAAUUUCUAGUGCGAUGAACGUGUCGGAAUUCACACCAAUCAAAUAUAACUAUCAAACUUCGAGCAUUAUGCCCAAAGUACCCAAUAGAGACUUGUCAACUCAAGUGGAAGAAAAACUUUUGAUAACAGUGAAGUAUCACCUUCCAAAUAAUCCACAAAUUGCGAGCAAAUCAAAAAGUAGAAUUCCCAGCAACUGCCUUUGCCAUCUAAGAAUCCACAAAGUAAGACUUGAAACUCAUACAAGGAAAAAUUCUAAGUAGAGGAAAAGUAGUACAUAUAUUUUUAAUAUGCGUAACAUGUUGCCUCGUUAAAAAUCUUAUCAAGAAAAUCUAAUGUGGCAAAACCUCUGUUAAGGGAAAAAGAAUACAACACAUAUUUACUUCGCCUCAUUACAAUAUCACAUAAGAUCUUAGAUUUUAUAUAUUUCAAUCUUGAAUACUAACUUUUCAAAUUAUUACUCAAAUUAUUGACCAAAAAAUUAUCACUUGAAUUGAUUUGUUAAACAUUUAUAUCACCAUUCUUUUGAAAGUUAUGGAUGAGAAAGAACUUCAAGAAAACUUAUUGUGUUUGUUUUUUUUUUAAUAUGCCAUUCUUUUGAGAAAGAAAACUAUAGUUAUUUACAUCUAACAAUCUUAUAGCUGUAGGGGUACUCAAUGGAAAUACUUUUAUCUAUAUAAAAUCUCUUUACAGCCCUUUUAAUAUAUGUGAAGUUAUAGAAAAAAAAAUUCAUAUGUAAAGUGAUUGCAAGUUAAAGCAAAAAUUUGUUUUCCAAUGCCUUUUAUCUCAAAUCAUUUCUUUAAAUAAUUUACUACUUUAGUAUCUCUUCAAGAGUUUCAAUAAUAUUUAGAUUAAUGUAUACAACAAUCAUAAGAAACUAAGAUCAUGAUAUUUCAAAAAAAAAUACAUAAGCAUGUUGGAUCAUGUUUAUGGUUAAACUAUGCCAUACGUCCUUUUAUUCUUCCUAAAUUUGGAAUUUAGUCUAUAUACUUUUAUUUUAAGGACUUUAGUUCAUUUACUUUUUAAAUUUCAAAAUUCAAGUCAAUUUGUUAACACUGUUUUUUUUUGUUAUAUUUGUUGGUGUGACAUUUUGAAAUAAAAAAAAACUCACUUAGUAGCAAUAUAACUAAAAUAAUGGCGUUGUAACUUGAAUUUAACAAAAAUAAUUUUAACAGCGUUAAUAGUUGUACCUGAAUUUUGAACUUUGAAAAGUAAAAUGAUUAAAUUUCCAAAAAUACAAGUACGAUGAUUAAAUUCUAAAUUUAUAAAAAAUAUAGGGACAAAUGGCAUAUUUUAACCCAUUUGUAUCCCCAUUAGUUUUACAGCUUUAUAUGCUUAGAUUAUUGGUCCAAAAAUUUCAUGAUGGGAAAACGAAUUAAUUUUACUUGAAUUGUAUCUUUGUAUUUUGACUAAUCAUGUUAAUCGAUAAUUUUGUCAAACCAUUUCAUAUAUAAAUAACAAUUUUGCAAUUUUUAUUCCAAUCGACAAUCUAACAUACACUAAUCAUUGAAUUUAUCAAUAAACUUACCAAUUUUAACAAGAAAUAUCUCAAUUGCAUAAUAUAAAAUAAUAAAACAACAACAUAAUUUUAAUUAUUUAUAUUCCUAAUAAAAUAACGUUUUCUUUAAUCAUGAUCCUCGAAGAAGUGUUCUAUUUCUAGAUGUGUUAUAUCAUCCAAUCCAUUGGAGUUAUCAAUCUUGUAUACCAAAUUUGAUUCAACAUGCUAAAUUAGUGUCUGGAAAAUCUCCCUUUUAAUAUAAUAGAAUCUUGAUUGAGAUUAAACAAAAUGUUCCAAGUGUAUAAUAAAUACAUGACCAAUGACCUUUCAUACUAUAUUGAUAACAUAAAUUAUUUCCACUCCUUAAAAGGUUUACACGACCAAUAACCUUUCAUACUACAUUGAUAACAUAAAUUAUUUCCACUCCUUAAAAAUGAUUCCUAAGAACUCUUGUUAUCUUUAUUUUUUUCAAUUGUAUUGGUGGAAGAAUUAUUAUGACCCCCUUUUUGACCAUUAUUAUUAUUCCACUAACCAUGUCUAUGUCCACUUCCACUAACAAUUAUUAGUAAAAAUGAAACAGUGCAAGAUCUCGUAUAGAUAUGCACUUUGCACUACCCGCUACCCAGAUCUGAGUGGUCUAAUGAAUAUCUUGGCUAAUUUAUCAAUUAAGAACAUUUAGAUCAGAUCUAAACAGAGGAAAAUUCAAGAAACUUACUGCUAUAGGGAUGGAAACUGAAAAGAAACGAUAGUCCACAAAAACGAUGGUGUCCUAAGGAGGCGGCAACACCAUUAGCGACGGCAUAAAGGGCUGAUUUGGGCAGCACAAGGAGGGAUCUUUGAACAGCCAAAAAGAUUAAUUUUUAGGGCUGGAAUGAUGAUUUAUUGGCUAUAAAAACAACAACCAAAAAUUGACACACAAAGAAGAACAAAAGAAAAAGAAAAAGAGAACUUACCGGCACCACUACGAACAAAGGAGAGGGGGCAACAAUGGAUAGUAGAGAGGGCUGAGAGGGACGGCUUAAAGAUGAGUUUAAGGCAGAAAAUAGGGCUGAUUUAGGAGGUUAAAACAACCAGCAAAGUGGAUGGAAAAACAAAAGUAAAGGCUUUAGCAAAUGGAUGACACAACUAGUGAAAUCCCAUAGAAAAGAUGAGUGAAUGAACAAGAGGAGAACAGGCGCUGCUAGAGGAGUGAAUGAACAGAGAAAAGAGCUGUAAAACAAAGAAAAAGUGAUAUAAAUAACUAGUGUUACUAGGCUUGGGCGGCACAAAACAAGGAGGAGAAAAAAUCAAUGUUAAGACCAAAGCUUUCACCAUCCUUUUAAAAAAAAAUAGAAAUAAAAUAAAUUAAUCAAAUCAAUCAUAAUUAGAUGAGAAUGUCAAAGUGUGAAACUUCCAAUCCUCACAAUGCUGUUAGUUCUUAUUUUUCUUCUUGAAUCCCA